CCUACGGGUGGCAGCAGUGAGGAAUAUUGGUCAAUGGGCGAGAGCCUGAACCAGCCAAGUCGCGUGAGGGAAGACGGUCCUAUGGAUUGUAAACCUCUUUUGCCGGGGAGCAAAAAGCGGUACGUGUACCGCAUCGAGAGUACCCGGAGAAAAAGCAUCGGCUAACUCCGUGCCAGCAGCCGCGGUAAUACGGAGGAUGCGAGCGUUAUCCGGAUCUAUUGGGUUUAAAGGGUGCGCAGGCGGCGAGUUAAGUCAGCGGUAAAAUUUCGGGGCUAAACCCCGACGAGCCGUUGAAACUGGCGUGCUAGAGUGGGCGAGAAGUAUGCGGAAUGCGUGGUGUAGCGGUGAAAGGCAUAGAUAUCACGCAGAACUCCGAUUGCGAAGGCAGCAUACCGGCGCCCAACUGACGCUCAGGCACGAAAGCGUGGGUAUCGAACAGGAUUAGAUACCCCGGUAGUC
RNAcentral lists this ribosomal RNA (459 nucleotides) under uncultured bacterium. RNAcentral describes it as "partial 16S ribosomal RNA". It matches the Rfam family "Bacterial small subunit ribosomal RNA", at positions 338 to 795 of the family's 1533-position model. The record is from RNAcentral.